Molecule: ribosomal RNA, 520 nt
Filed under: uncultured Paraglomus
Lineage: Eukaryota; Fungi; Glomeromycota; Glomeromycetes; Paraglomerales; Paraglomeraceae
Description: bacterial SSU rRNA
Rfam family: Eukaryotic small subunit ribosomal RNA
Source: RNAcentral
AGCAGCCGCGGUAAUUCCAGCUCCAAUAGCGUAUAUUAAAGUUGUUGCAGUUAAAAAGCUCGUAGUUGAACUUCAGGCCUGGCUGGACGGUCCGCCCUCUGGGUGAGCACUGUCUGUGGUCGGGUCCUACCUUCUGGCGAAGCGGCAUGGCCUUAACCGGCCGUGGCGGGGAACCAGGACUUUUACUGUGAAAAAAUUAGAGUGUUCAAAGCAGGCACGCGCUUGAAUACAUUAGCAUGGAAUAAUGGAAUAGGACAAUGGUUCUAUUUGUUGGUUUCUAGGACCGUUGUAAUGAUUAAUAGGGAUAGUUGGGGGCAUUAGUAUUCAAUUGUCAGAGGUGAAAUUCUUGGAUUUAUUGAAGACUAACUACUGCGAAAGCAUUUGCCAAGGAUGUUUUCAUUAAUCAAGAACGAAAGUUAGGGAUCGAAGACGAUACAGAUACCGUCGUAGUCUUAACCAUAAACUAUGACCGACUAGGGAUCGGAUGAUGUUAAUUUUUAAUGUACUCUAUUCGGCGUCC